CACAGAGGAGCUUGCUCCUUGGGUGACGAGUGGCGGACGGGUGAGUAAUGUCUGGGAAACUGCCCGAUGGAGGGGGAUAACUACUGGAAACGGUAGCUAAUACCGCAUAACGUCGCAAGACCAAAGAGGGGGACCUUCGGGCCUCUUGCCAUCGGAUGUGCCCAGAUGGGAUUAGCUUGUUGGUGGGGUAACGGCUCACCAAGGCGACGAUCCCUAGCUGGUCUGAGAGGAUGACCAGCCACACUGGAACUGAGACACGGUCCAGACUCCUACGGGAGGCAGCAGUGGGGAAUAUUGCACAAUGGGCGCAAGCCUGAUGCAGCCAUGCCGCGUGUAUGAAGAAGGCCUUCGGGUUGUAAAGUACUUUCAGCGGGGAGGAAGGGAGUAAAGUUAAUACCUUUGCUCAUUGACGUUACCCGCAGAAGAAGCACCGGCUAACUCCGUGCCAGCAGCCGCGGUAAUACGGAGGGUGCAAGCGUUAAUCGGAAUUACUGGGCGUAAAGCGCACGCAGGCGGUUUGUUAAGUCAGAUGUGAAAUCCCCGGGCUCAACCUGGGAACUGCAUCUGAUACUGGCAAGCUUGAGUCUCGUAGAGGGGGGUAGAAUUCCAGGUGUAGCGGUGA
This 622-nucleotide ribosomal RNA is filed under the name uncultured Enterobacteriaceae bacterium. Its description in RNAcentral is "bacterial SSU rRNA". It matches the Rfam family "Bacterial small subunit ribosomal RNA", at positions 69 to 684 of the family's 1533-position model. The record is from RNAcentral. Lineage: Bacteria; Pseudomonadati; Pseudomonadota; Gammaproteobacteria; Enterobacterales; Enterobacteriaceae.